This 253-nucleotide ribosomal RNA is filed under the name uncultured bacterium. RNAcentral's name for it is "partial 16S ribosomal RNA". It matches the Rfam family "Bacterial small subunit ribosomal RNA", at positions 524 to 776 of the family's 1533-position model. The record is from RNAcentral.
UACGAAGGGGGCUAGCGUUGCUCGGAAUCACUGGGCGUAAAGCGUCUGUAGGUGGAUGUUCAAGUCUGCUGUCAAAGACCGGGGCUUAACCCUGGAAAGGCAGUGGAAACUGAACGUCUAGAGUGUGGUAGGGGCAGAGGGAAUUCCCAGUGUAGCGGUGAAAUGCGUAGAGAUUGGGAAGAACACCGGUGGCGAAAGCGCUCUGCUAGGCCAGUACUGACACUAAGGGACGAAAGCUAGGGGAGCGAAUGGG